GUCACUUCUCAGCCUUUUGGCUAAGAUCAAGUGUAAUAUCUGUUUUUUCAGUUUAAUAUCUGAUAUGUCCUAAAUUAAAAAUAAUAAAAAAUAAAUAAAGGGGAGAUAAGAGAAACCAGAGAAUCCAU
Molecule: small nuclear RNA, 128 nt
Organism: Pongo abelii (Sumatran orangutan)
Lineage: Eukaryota; Metazoa; Chordata; Mammalia; Primates; Hominidae
Gene: U2
Rfam family: U2 spliceosomal RNA
About the family: U2 is a small nuclear RNA (snRNA) component of the spliceosome (involved in pre-mRNA splicing). Complementary binding between U2 snRNA (in an area lying towards the 5' end but 3' to hairpin I) and the branchpoint sequence (BPS) of the intron results the bulging out of an unpaired adenosine, on the BPS, which initiates a nucleophilic attack at the intronic 5' splice site, thus starting the first of two transesterification reactions that mediate splicing.
Source: Ensembl